AUUGAACGCUGGCGGCAGGCCUAACACAUGCAAGUCGAACGGUAACAGGAAGAAGCUUGCUUCUUUGCUGACGAGUGGCGGACGGGUGAGUAAUGUCUGGGAAACUGCCUGAUGGAGGGGGAUAACUACUGGAAACGGUAGCUAAUACCGCAUAAUGUCGCAAGACCAAAGAGGGGGACCUUCGGGCCUCUUGCCAUCGGAUGUGCCCAGAUGGGAUUAGCUAGUAGGUGGGGUAACGGCUCACCUAGGCGACGAUCCCUAGCUGGUCUGAGAGGAUGACCAGCCACACUGGAACUGAGACACGGUCCAGACUCCUACGGGAGGCAACAGUGGGGAAUAUUGCACAAUGGGCGCAAGCCUGAUGCAGCUAUGCCGCGUGUAUGAAGAAGGCCUUCGGGUUGUAAAGUACUUUCAGCGGGGAGGAAGGGAGUAAAGUUAAUACCUUUGCUCAUUGACGUUACCCGCAGAAGAAGCACCGGCUAACUCCGUG
This 490-nucleotide ribosomal RNA is filed under the name uncultured bacterium. RNAcentral's name for it is "partial 16S ribosomal RNA". It matches the Rfam family "Bacterial small subunit ribosomal RNA", at positions 30 to 507 of the family's 1533-position model. The record is from RNAcentral.